This 3491-nucleotide long non-coding RNA is filed under the name Chinchilla lanigera (long-tailed chinchilla). Its description in RNAcentral is "lncRNA (ENSCLAG00000024218.1)". Lineage: Eukaryota; Metazoa; Chordata; Mammalia; Rodentia; Chinchillidae. The record is from RNAcentral.
UAAAGAUAGAAGCCAAAUGAUCAUACCAGUGAAGCACACUUGUAGACCAUCAAUGUUGUAGAUGGGAGUUUCACUGGUUGUGGCACUGCUAUCAAGCUGGACUGAAAACUGCCGUUUGUACACUGUUGCACCAUAUUGAACAACUUGACAGUUCUAAGUAGAGAUUUCUUUGUGGAGCUGAAAUAUCGUAAUAGAGCUGUUGCUGAAAAGGCUAUGAAGUUCUUAAACAGGACCUGCCUGGAUGAUCUUAUCAUUUGCACAGAUUCGGGGAGCCAAGAAGCAAUGCUCAGAGUGAGGACCAGAGCUCCCUCAAAAAGAACCAAAGCCAUUCUCAGUGCCUACAAGGUCCCAAGCUCCUCAGAGGAUGAAAACAGCCAAGUUCAUCAGGAAAGCCAGCAUAACAAGCUCCUCCAAGAGAACCAACAGCUCCUUACAACUUCUGUCCACUUCCAGCGGGUUCCCAACAGCUUCUACCAGCUCGCAACAGUCUCUCUUCUUCUCCAGUUCUGCCUCCUAUGCUGGCAACAGUCCUCAGGUGGGCCUCCCACACCCAGCACCAUGCUUACUCCAUUCAGCUGGGUGUUACAAGUUGACCACCAGUUAUCAAUCCACUACACCCACCUUCCAAAUACCUUCAUUUUAGUGGAUCUUUCCUGAACUUCUCCAGUGCAGCUUCUCCUCUAGUCAUCCAUGAUGAAUCUCUAUAUCUUCUUUGAGACCACUGAGCAUUUUAUUGACCUGUUUUGUGUCUCCUCUUUUAACAUUUUCAAUAAUUCAGCACUGUGGCUUUUGAUUUCCUCUCUUGUAGUGAUCAUGGCUUGGUAUGGGGAAGUUGGGAAUUUUGGGAGGUAUUUUGUUGCCUUGUGCUUUGUCUUCUCAUGUUUAUAUUUAUUUUUUGCACUGAGGUUUAUGGGUUGAUUAUAGUGGAAAGACUUUGUUGCUAGUAUGGAAACUUCUUAGUGUCUGCUUUUCAGUGAUGCACUCUGAGCAUGGCUAACUAUAGGCCCUUGCCUGUAUCACAUCUAACUACCUCCAUUAUGUAGUGUAAUUGGUCCAGCAGAACCCUGUUCUCUGGGAAUGGCUCAUAAUAUUGUUAUUGACACAAAGGCAAUCCUGACGCUGGCAUAUGGAGAAAACCAAUUAAUAACAACAAUUAUGCCACCCUGUCAGUAGCAACAAAGUCAGCAAUAAUGGUAGCACCAAAGGCAAAUUGCAUAUUGACUGUCAUAAAAACCAAUAAUGUACCACAUUUAACCAUACAAAAGAGAUCUAAGGUUAUAGUGUAAACAAUAAGACAAACCAAAUACUGACACAUAAUAAAUAUCUACUAAAUGCGGCAAUUCUACUACCACUAAAAAUAGAAAAAACUCAACAGUAAUAGCAUACAGUUAAUUAUUUAAAGAUUAAUAAAAUUAAUGGUUAUAGUAGCAAAAAUAGAGGUGUGGGAAAUAGGUAAAUAAACAAAUUAAAAUUUGACAAAUUAGGCAAUGGAAGAUGAGAAGGAGGAGAGAAAAGUGAGAUCAAGGAUUGUAUUAGUGAGUAAAAGGAAAUUAAUCAUAUAAAAGCAACAGAAAAGAACAAACAAGAAAAAGAAUAAAAAACAGAAUAAGAUAGAGAAAAAAUACUUAAAAAAAGAAAAAAAGAAAAAGAUCAAACCCUUCAAACCCAAUUAAGAAAAAAAUGAGCCCCCAAACCAUUAUUCUGUAUUUUUUGAAUAAGUGAUUUCUUUCCAAGAUUUGCAGUCUUUGAAUCCAGGAAAUCAAGGUUUUCUCCACCAAGUUUACAGCAUGUGGUUCUGUGAGUUGCUCCCAUGCUCCAGAGCAUCCUCUGUCAGUAUACUCCAGACUGUGGCAACCACUCAAGGUGAAGCAUGACCCUUCUCAUCUUGGGAGAUUGAGAAAAUUAAUCAGAUUGCUGAUUUCUGUGUUGUAUAUAGGCAGUGGGGGAGGUGAUCAAGCAGACUGCUGAACUUAAUGCCAACACUUUCCAUCCUAGCCACCUCUGAAAUCUAUACAACUAAGCGUGGCUUUUCAGCAUAAAAGGCAGGGCCCUGUGUUCUUCCCAGCCUUAAUUUAAACUUUAUGGGGUGUCCUGGUCUAGCCCAUGCCCUCUCCAGCCAUCUCUUAUGGCUGUCUCUCUUCUAGUUACUGUGGUAAGGUAACACGAGGAACCCUGAGGUGAAGUUGUUUUAUGCAUCAGUUUUAAUUUUUUUGUUAUUAUGGAUUACAGUACUAUGACUAUUCAUGUAUAAGAUUUUGUGUGGAUAUACAUUUUUAUUUCUUGUAGGUAUAUAUCUAAAGACUAGAAUCCUGGGUCUGAUGGUCCUCCAUGUUUAACUUUAUAAGGACCUUCCAGAAUGUUUUAAAGUGCUCUGUCACUUUACAUUCCCAUCAUCUGUAUAUGAAAUUUCCAAUUUUUCUUCAACCAUAGUGUUAUGGUCUAUAUAUAGAUGUCCCCCUAAAGCCUUAUGUGGUCAUUAGUGGGGCUUUUUGGAGGUGGCUGGAUCUAGAGUGUGUAAUGCUGGCAUGAAAGAUAUGACACUGGGAUUGAUUAAUGGUGUGAUGCUAGGAUUAAGGGUGCCCAACCCUGGGUAUGAGUGCUACCUGCCUUAAGAUUGGGAAGCAUGGAUAGAAUAUAAGGGACAAAAUGAGGAUCACUGCUUGUCACUUGUUUUUUGCUGCGUUUGCUGCCUUCUGUCUACCAUGAACUGUUUCUCCUCUGUGAUGUCCCUCUGCCAUCAGACCCUGCCUUGGAACCAGCCAGCUAUGAACUGAAACCUCUACAAACUUUGAGCUAAAUAAAUUUUUUCUCCUUUAACUUUCGGUGUUGAGUAUUUUGUCUCAGCAGUGAGAAAAAGUAACAAGAUUUUUCUAAAGACAUGCACCAACACUUACUAUUAUCUGACUCUUUAUUUUACAAACAUCCAAUGUGUGAAGUAGUAUUUGAUUUACAUUUACCUGGUGGUUGAUGAUGGUGAAUAUGUUUUAUGUCCUUAUUAACUGUCUGCAUUUUUUCUUUAGAGAAAUACCUAUUUAAAUCCUUUGCCCAUGUGUAAAAUUGGUUUGCCUUGUGUCAUUGAGUUGUAGUAGUUCUUAACAGAGUCUAGAUACAAGUCCAUUAUCAGACAUGAUUUGCCAAAUUUCUCUCCCAUUUUGUGGGUUGUCUUUGUACUUCCUUGAUGAUAUCCUUUGAAGAUUUUUAAUUUUGGUAAUAUCCAAGUUACUAUUUUUUCCUUUGGCUGUUUGUGCUUUUGGUGUCAUAUCUAAGAAAAUAUUGUAUAAUUCAUAAUCUUGAAAAUUUAUGCAUAUGCUUUCUCCCAAGAAUUUUGUAGUUUUAACGCUUACAUUUAGGUCUUUGAUCCAUUUUAAGUUAAUAUAUUAUAUAUACAGUAUGAGGUAGAGGUUUAACUCUCUUCUCUCUCUAUCUGUAUCUAUCUAUCCAUCUAUAUCUAUCUACCUAUCUAUCUAUCUAUAUGUAUAUAUCCAAUUUCC